This 253-nucleotide unclassified non-coding RNA is filed under the name uncultured Chitinophagales bacterium. Its description in RNAcentral is "contains 16S-23S intergenic spacer region". It matches the Rfam family "Bacterial small subunit ribosomal RNA", at positions 524 to 776 of the family's 1533-position model. The record is from RNAcentral. Lineage: Bacteria; Pseudomonadati; Bacteroidota; Chitinophagia; Chitinophagales.
UACGUAGGGAGCGAGCGUUAUCCGGAUUCACUGGGUUUAAAGGGUGUGUAGGCGGAUACUUAAGUCAGUGGUGAAAUCUCCGGGCUCAACCCGGAAACUGCCAUUGAUACUAUUUAUCUUGAAUUCUGUUGAGGUGGGCGGAAUACAUCAUGUAGCGGUGAAAUGCUUAGAUAUGAUGUAGAACACCGAUUGCGAAGGCAGCUCACUAAACAGAUAUUGACGCUGAGGCACGAAAGCGUGGGGAUCAAACAGG